This 253-nucleotide ribosomal RNA is filed under the name uncultured bacterium. RNAcentral describes it as "partial 16S ribosomal RNA". It matches the Rfam family "Bacterial small subunit ribosomal RNA", at positions 524 to 776 of the family's 1533-position model. The record is from RNAcentral.
UACGGAGGGUGCGAGCGUUGUCCGGAAUCACUGGGCGUAAAGGGCGCGUAGGCGGCCCGGCAAGUCUGUGGUGAAAGCUCAGGGCUCAACUCUGAGUCGGCCACGGAUACUGCGGGGCUCGAGCACGGUAGAGGCAGGUGGAAUUCCGGGUGUAGCGGUGGAAUGCGUAGAGAUCCGGAAGAACACCGGUGGCGAAGGCGGUUCUCUGGGCCUGUACUGACGCUGAGGAGCGAAAGCGUGGGGAGCGAACAGG